CUCUACUUGGUCGGGUUGUAUCAGAUCUAUAGAUAUACACAAACAUAGAAUAGCGGCAAUAGACCGAAAAAUCGGCGAAAUACGCAAGGAAGGUAAACUAUCCAAAA
Pectinophora gossypiella (pink bollworm) is the source of this 107-nucleotide long non-coding RNA. RefSeq lists it as uncharacterized. The record is from RefSeq and is a predicted model, not a curated record. The transcript has 2 exons. Lineage: Eukaryota; Metazoa; Arthropoda; Insecta; Lepidoptera; Gelechiidae.